ACUACAUAGGAAGGGCGCGUGUUAGCGAAAAGGGUUUUGAGUGAAGACUGAUUAAAAGUAAGCCGUCAGACGAACCCGAUCCCUUCGGCGGAAACGCCGUUAUUCAUUAAAAAACUCAAUGAACUAAAACAUUUUACUAAUUGAAGGAAAAUAAACCAACCGGGAUUGCGUUAGUAACAGAGAGUGAAAAUGCAAAAGCUGCAAAAACGUGUAUCUUUGGUUGAACUUGUGUGGAACCAGGACCAAAGAGAGUGAUAGUCUCGUAAGCCAAACGGAUACAUUAAGUAAAAAUGCGACUAGCGAAUCUUUGCUAGUUAUACACGGGAACCACCCUGUUGGCUAAAUAGUCUAUGUAGAUUGAUAGUGAAUCAGUACUGUGAAGGAAUUAGGAAACAAGAACGCCAUCGCUUCUCUGAAUACAAAGCCUGAAACAUGUUGCUUAAAAUGACUUUCAGUUUGGUUUUUAUUAAAUAGAAAGGUUCCUUUUGAAUCAUGAGCUGAUGACUUUACGUUGAUUUAAGGUCUGAGUCCCUACCCUUGCGGUUUGUAAGGACUAAUAUAAUAUAUUAACUCAGGGCCAAAGACAGCUUAAUUUGCUAAAAGUAAGCUUACUAUGAAAAUAAAUAAUAUAGUAUUAACGUAAGACGCGAAACGAAGUGAGCUUAAGUAAACCAGGGGUAAAGCUACCGAAAGGUAGGUGGACGCCCGAAGUGCUGCGCGUUGCAACGCGCUCAUAUGAGUUUAUUUAAGUGGCGAAAUACUAAUCGAACUUCGAAAUAUCUCGUUUUUUGCGAAAUCUUUUUAGGAAGGGGGUCGGUUUAGAAAAUGCUAACUAGGUAAAGCGCUGUAAAGCCGAUGGGAAGGAAACUUUUACUGAGGUGUUGCAAACUUUAAAUUAAGGGUAUUUUACAAGGCACUCAGUCAAUGUGGGACAAGCUACAUAUGACGAAAAGGUAACAGCCUAGACUAUCAAUUAAGGCCUUUAAAUGGUAUUCAGUGAUAAAGUAGUCAGUUUUACAAAAAUUAGUAGGACGUUUGAUUAGCAGCAUCUAUCGUUUAAAGAAAGCGUAAUAGCUCACUACUAUAGUUUAAUUGUUUCAAAAAUGUAACGAGACUAAGUACCAUGCCGAAGUUAUAGCUUACAAUAAAAAGAGAUAGGAUAAAGUAAGAGUAGCAGAACGAACCAUAUAAAGACUGAAAAUGUGUCGGUAAGACAUAUUGGACAAAUUGGUUGUGAAUAUAUCAGCUAUAGUAGCAUUAAAAUUGAGUAAGAAUCUCGAUGAUCGUAAAUCCUGGGUUUUCUACACAACUCUUUAAGAUGUAGUCAAAAAGCGGUCCCUAAGUAAUUCCAAAUUAUGAUGGGUGUACCUUAUGCCGGACAUAGUCUUUUGACCUGUUACAGGAAAUAAUAAGGUACAAACAACCGUACUAAAACUGACUCUGGUGGAUAAGUAAAUUUUACUAAGAUUUGGUUAUAACCACUCGUAAGGAACUCGGCAAACUACGCUUUAAUUCUCGAAAACGGCGGUCUUCAAAAAAAAAUUGCAAGAUCUCAGAUAAUAUAAUUGGGCGACUGUUUACUAAAAACUUAGCGCCCUGCUAAUUUGAAAUAAGACGUAUAGGGGGUGACGUUUGCCAUAGGCUGCUAACUUAAGUAGCUUUCUGUAACAGGAAAGUCAAUAAGGUGCAGUGACUGGCGGCCGUAACUAUAACGGUCAUAAAGUAGCGAAAUUCCUAGGCAUUUAAUUGGUGUCCCGCAUGAAUAAUGUAACGACCUGAUUGCUGUCUCGCGAGUGGAAACCGUGAAAUAAGAAUAUCGGUUCAAAUACCGAUUAGGUUCUCUAAGACGAUAAGACCCUAUGAAGCUUUACUGUAACUUAACAUUGCGGCCGGUUUUUUGUUUUACAGUUAGGCGGGAGGAUUUCACAUCCGAUGCUGGAAAACCGCUAAAUAAUUAAUUGGCCGCUUUAUCAAAGCAAAAAGAGACAGUGUUAAGUGGGCAGUUUACUUGGGGCGAGGUCUGGCUAAAAAGUAACGCCAGAGAGCAGAAGGUAUGUUCAAUGUUGUCGGAAACAACAUGCAGAGCGUAAUAGUAUAAGCAUGCCUGAUUACAAGACCGACAAGUCGAGUAAAGACGAAAGUCUGCUAUAGUGACCCUCACACACUGAGUGGAAAGGUGUGAGAUCAACGAAUCAAAGCUACUCUAGGGAUAAGGACCUUAAAUAGCGACAAGUAAGCAUCUAUGUAAUGCAAUAAUGCUGUGAUUAG
RNAcentral lists this ribosomal RNA (2268 nucleotides) under Zoanthus sp. QL-2018. Its description in RNAcentral is "bacterial LSU rRNA". It matches the Rfam family "Bacterial large subunit ribosomal RNA", at positions 36 to 2521 of the family's 2925-position model. The record is from RNAcentral. Lineage: Eukaryota; Metazoa; Cnidaria; Anthozoa; Zoantharia; Zoanthidae.